UAUAGUUUAUUUGAUAAUUGAAUUCUACUUGGAUAACCGUGGUAAUUCUAGAGCUAAUACAUGCAGUAAAACCUGACUUUUUGGAAAGGUUGUAUUUAUUAGAUAUCAAACCAAUAUUCCUUCGGGUCUAUUGUGAUGAUUCAUAAUAACUGAUCGAAGCUUAGCUAGUCUAAGCUAAAUCAUUCAAGUUUCUGCCCUAUCAGCUUUCGAUGGUAGUGUAUUGGACUACCAUGGCAGUCACGGGUAACGGGGAAUUAGGGUUCGAUUCCGGAGAGGAAGCCUGAGAAACGGCUACCACA
Molecule: ribosomal RNA, 299 nt
Filed under: uncultured eukaryote
Lineage: Eukaryota
Description: partial 18S rRNA
Rfam family: Eukaryotic small subunit ribosomal RNA
Source: RNAcentral